This 492-nucleotide ribosomal RNA is filed under the name uncultured bacterium. Its description in RNAcentral is "partial 16S ribosomal RNA". It matches the Rfam family "Bacterial small subunit ribosomal RNA", at positions 29 to 507 of the family's 1533-position model. The record is from RNAcentral.
AGUGAACGCUGGCGGUAGGCCUAACACAUGCAAGUCGAACGGCAGCACAGUAAGAGCUUGCUCUUACGGGUGGCGAGUGGCGGACGGGUGAGGAAUACAUCGGAAUCUACUUUUUCGUGGGGGAUAACGUAGGGAAACUUACGCUAAUACCGCAUACGACCUACGGGUGAAAGCAGGGGAUCUUCGGACCUUGCGCGAUUGAAUGAGCCGAUGUCGGAUUAGCUAGUUGGCGGGGUAAAGGCCCACCAAGGCGACGAUCCGUAGCUGGUCUGAGAGGAUGAUCAGCCACACUGGAACUGAGACACGGUCCAGACUCCUACGGGAGGCAGCAGUGGGGAAUAUUGGACAAUGGGAGCAAGCCUGAUCCAGCCAUACCGCGUGGGUGAAGAAGGCCUUCGGGUUGUAAAGCCCUUUUGUUGGGAAAGAAAAGCAGCAGGUUAAUACCCCGCUGUUCUGACGGUACCAAAAGAAUAAGCACCGGCUAACUUCGUG